GAGUUUGAUCGUGGCUCAGAGCGAACGCUGGCGGCAGGCUUAACACAUGCAAGUCGUGGGGGGUAGCAAUACCCACCGGCGAACGGGUGCGUAACACGUGAGCAACAUUCCGAUUUCUGGGGGAUAGCCGGCCCAACGGCCGGGUAAUACCGCAUACGCUCAUCGAGAGGAGUCUCUCGGUGAGGAAACCUCCGGGGGAAAUCGAGUGGCUCGCGGCCUAUCAGCUAGUUGGCGGGGUAAUGGCCCACCAAGGCGAUGACGGGUAGCUGGUCUGAGAGGAUGGCCAGCCACAUUGGGACUGAGACACGGCCCAGACUCCUACGGGAGGCAGCAGUGGGGAAUAUUGCGCAAUGGGGGAAACCCUGACGCAGCGACGCCGCGUGGGUGAUGAAGGCCUUC
This 399-nucleotide ribosomal RNA is filed under the name uncultured Gemmatimonadota bacterium. Its description in RNAcentral is "bacterial SSU rRNA". It matches the Rfam family "Bacterial small subunit ribosomal RNA", at positions 9 to 419 of the family's 1533-position model. The record is from RNAcentral. Lineage: Bacteria; Pseudomonadati; Gemmatimonadota.